This 27-nucleotide non-coding RNA is filed under the name Mus musculus (house mouse). The record is from RNAcentral. Lineage: Eukaryota; Metazoa; Chordata; Mammalia; Rodentia; Muridae.
UGAGGUAGACACAGAAAGCCAGGCAGU